ACUGGUAGGCUUGGGACCGGGAGAGGUGGGAGGUACUCCAGGGGUAGGGGUGAAAUCUCGUAAUCCUUGGGGGACCACCGAUGGCGAAGGCAUCCCACCAGAACGGGUCCGACGGUGAGGGACGAAAGCUGGGGGCACGAACCGGAUUAGAUACUCGGGUAGUCUCAGCUGUAAACGAUGCUCGCUAGGUGUCAGGUGCGGUGCGACCGCAU
Molecule: ribosomal RNA, 212 nt
Filed under: uncultured Candidatus Methanoperedens sp.
Lineage: Archaea; Methanobacteriati; Methanobacteriota; Methanomicrobia; Methanosarcinales; Candidatus Methanoperedentaceae
Description: partial 16S ribosomal RNA
Rfam family: Archaeal small subunit ribosomal RNA
Source: RNAcentral